AUUGAACGCUGGCGGCAUGCCUUACACAUGCAAGUCGAACGGUAACAGGUCUUCGGAUGCUGACGAGUGGCGAACGGGUGCGUAAUACAUCGGAACGUGCCCGAUCGUGGGGGAUAACGGAGCGAAAGCUUUGCUAAUACCGCAUACGAUCUACAGAUGAAAGCAGGGGACCGCAAGGCCUUGCGCGGACGGAGCGGCCGAUGGCAGAUUAGGUAGUUGGUGGGAUAAAAGCUUACCAAGCCGACGAUCUGUAGCUGGUCUGAGAGGACGACCAGCCACACUGGGACUGAGACACGGCCCAGACUCCUACGGGAGGCAGCAGUGGGGAAUUUUGGACAAUGGGCGAAAGCCUGAUCCAGCCAUGCCGCGUGCAGGAUGAAGGCCUUCGGGUUGUAAACUGCUUUUGUACGGAACGAAAAGACUCUUUCUAAUAAAGAGGGUCCAUGACGGUACCGUAAGAAUAAGCACCGGCUAACUACGUG
This 482-nucleotide ribosomal RNA is filed under the name uncultured bacterium. RNAcentral's name for it is "partial 16S ribosomal RNA". It matches the Rfam family "Bacterial small subunit ribosomal RNA", at positions 30 to 507 of the family's 1533-position model. The record is from RNAcentral.